This 376-nucleotide ribosomal RNA is filed under the name uncultured bacterium. Its description in RNAcentral is "bacterial SSU rRNA". It matches the Rfam family "Bacterial small subunit ribosomal RNA", at positions 524 to 898 of the family's 1533-position model. The record is from RNAcentral.
UACAUAGGGGGCUAGCUUUGUCCGGAAUUACUGGGCGUAAAGGGUGCGUAGGUGGUAGUGUGUGUUGGAAGUGUAAUCCCUCGGGCUUAACUCAGGGGCUGCUUCCAAAACUACAUUACUUGAGUAUCGGAGAGGAAAACGGAAUUCCUAGUGUAGCGGUGAAAUGCGUAGAUAUUAGGAGGAACACCAGAGGCAAGGCGGUUUUCUGGACGAUAACUGACACUGAGGCACGAAAGCGUGGGGAGCGACUGGGAUUAGAUACCCCAUUAGUCCACGCUGUAAAUGAUGGGCACUUGACGUUGGGAGUAUCAACUCUCCCAGUGUCGUAGCUAACGCAUUAAGUACCCCGCCUGGGGAGUACGAUCGCAAGGUUGAA